GCUUAUUGAUAAUAAUUUUAAGUCUGACCUGCCCGAUGAGUAGUUGAAUGGCCGCGGUAUAUUGACCGUGCAAAGGUAGCAUAAUCAUUAGUUUUUUAAUUGAAAGCUGGAAUGAAAGGUUUGAUGAGAAGAUUUCUGUCUCUAUAAAAAUUUAUUUAGAAUUUUAUUUUUAAGUUAAAAAGCUUAAAUAAUUAUAAAAGACGAGAAGACCCUAUAGAGUUUAAUAUUUAUAAAUUAAAUUAAGAUUAAGAAUUACGAAUUUAAUUUAAUUAAUAAAUAUUUUGUUGGGGUGACAAAAAAAUUAAAAAAACUUUUUUUUUAUAAAAUCAUUUAUUUAUGAAUAUAUGAUCCUAAAUUUUAGAUUAUAAGAUUAAAUUACCUUAGGGAUAACAGCGUAAUUUUUUUUAGAGUUCUUAUCGAAAAAAAAGAUUGCGACCUCGAUGUUGGAUUAAAAUAAAUUAUUGGUGUAGAGGCUAAUGAAUUAGGUCUGUUCGACCUUUAAAAUUUUACAUGAUCUGAGUUUAAACCGGUGUGAG
Molecule: ribosomal RNA, 536 nt
Filed under: Trigonopterus diversicollis
Lineage: Eukaryota; Metazoa; Arthropoda; Insecta; Coleoptera; Curculionidae
Description: partial large subunit ribosomal RNA
Rfam family: Bacterial large subunit ribosomal RNA (bases 386-536)
Source: RNAcentral